Molecule: long non-coding RNA, 392 nt
Filed under: Ananas comosus (pineapple)
Lineage: Eukaryota; Viridiplantae; Streptophyta; Magnoliopsida; Poales; Bromeliaceae
Description: long non-coding RNA (ACOM_LNC029202)
Source: RNAcentral
UUGGGUUUCAUUUUGUAGUAAAGUACCCUAUGAUCAUCUUUUGUACAUGAUGGUAAAUGAUGUAAAGAAAAGAAUGUAAUGUGUAUUUUGAGGUAAAUGUGAUGUAAGAAAGAAAUGAUGAAAUGAAAUGUAAGGAAUUCGAAAAUGAACAAAAUGAAUGCAAUGUAUAUGAUAAAAAAUGAAUCAUAGUACAAGUGAAUGUUUAGUUUCCUUUUUCUUUCACUAAUGGCUAUUGCUUACCCUCGUGUAAGCCGUUUGUGUAUGUUUCCGCUAGUGCUUUUCUCUAUUGAUGAAAAUGUACAUGUGAUGAGCCUUGGGCGGAUAGGGGAAACUCUGUCCGUUCGGCGUCUGUUUGACGUGCUCGGGUCGGGCCAAAUUGGCAUCGGUCUGUG